RNAcentral lists this ribosomal RNA (466 nucleotides) under Batrachuperus tibetanus (Tibetan mountain salamander). Its description in RNAcentral is "partial 16S ribosomal RNA". It matches the Rfam family "Bacterial large subunit ribosomal RNA", at positions 1969 to 2594 of the family's 2925-position model. Lineage: Eukaryota; Metazoa; Chordata; Amphibia; Caudata; Hynobiidae. The record is from RNAcentral.
UUGUCUUUUAAAUAAAGACCAGUAUGAAUGGCAAGACGAAAGUUCAACUGUCUCCCUAAAUUAAUCAAUGAAAUUGAUCUUCCCGUGCAGAAGCUGGAAUAAAAUUAUAAGACGAGAAGACCCUAUGGAGCUUUAAAUAUAUGAUCAACUGUAUAAUAUAAAAUUCAAUAGAUUAAGCAUUAAAUAAAACAUUAUGAUCAAAAUUUUAGGUUGGGGCGACCACGGAGAAAAACAAAACCUCCGAGAUGAAAAGAGUAUCUUAAUUUAUGAACUACAGUUCUAAUAAAUAAAAUAUUUAACAUAAUUGAUCCAAUUUAUUGAUCAACGAACUAAGUUACCCUAGGGAUAACAGCGCAAUCCUUUCCAAGAGUCCCUAUCGACGAAUGGGUUUACGACCUCGAUGUUGGAUCAGGACACCCCAAUGGUGCAGCCGCUAUUAAAGGUUCGUUUGUUCAACGAUUAAAGU